This 714-nucleotide ribosomal RNA is filed under the name Fusarium oxysporum f. sp. niveum. RNAcentral's name for it is "SSU rRNA". It matches the Rfam family "Bacterial small subunit ribosomal RNA", at positions 355 to 952 of the family's 1533-position model. Lineage: Eukaryota; Fungi; Ascomycota; Sordariomycetes; Hypocreales; Nectriaceae. The record is from RNAcentral.
GGAAGAAUAUUAGUCAAUGGCCUAACGGCUGAACUGGCAACUUGGAGAAGUGGCAAGUCUUCCAGUAUGGGGAGCAAAACAGCUAUGGGUCAAGUCCGAUAUCUUUAGGAGAAGUCUUAUUGUGAGGGCGAGUUAUAUAACACCAUAGGACUGGCCGUCCCAUAUGAAAAGAUUAUAUUAGAAUUGAAUGAAGCUUUGUUUAUAUAUUGAUAAUGACAGUAUAUAUAUCGUGUCUUGACUAAUUGCGUGCCAGCAGUCGCGGUAAUACGUAAGAGACUAGUGUUAUUCAUCUUAAUUAGGUUUAAAGGGUACCCAGACGGUCAAUAUAGCUUAUAAAAUGUUAGUACUUGACUAGAGUUUUAUGUAAGAGGGCAGUACUUGAGGAGGAGAGAUGAAAUUUCGUGAUACCAAAGGGACUCUGUAAAGGCGAAGGCAGCCCUCUAUGUAAAAACUGACGUUGAAGGACGAAGGCACAGAGAACAAACAGGAUUAGAUACCCAAGUAGUCUUUGCAGUAAAUGAUGAAUGCCAUAGGUUAGAUUGAUCAAUUAUAGUCUAGGGUUAGUCUAGCAAACUAAUGCCCUAUGAUAUAAUUCAAAAUAUCUGGUCUAUAAAUGAAAGUGUAAGCAUUUCACCUCAAGAGUAAUGUGGCAACGCAGGAACUGAAAUCACUAGACCGUUUCUGACACCAGUAGUGAAGUAUGUUAUUUAAUUC